GCCAAGGUGGAGAAAAGCCUUGUGCAGUGAUGUAUUUUUGGCACAAUGAUAAAUGUCAUCUUUUCCAGAAAGUGACUGUGGAGGCUGUUUCUAAAGAAACAUAAAGAUUUACCAUCUCUGCUGGAAAUGCUUUGGAAACCUGGGGUG
Sphaerodactylus townsendi is the source of this 147-nucleotide long non-coding RNA. RefSeq lists it as uncharacterized. NCBI's taxonomy places the organism in Eukaryota, Metazoa, Chordata, Lepidosauria, Squamata, Sphaerodactylidae. The record is from RefSeq and is a predicted model, not a curated record. The transcript has 3 exons.